UGACAAAUCACCACCCUGGUAGAUCAAUAACCAAUACAGAGUCAUCCUUCAUAAAGAUCAGUAAAAGAUCAUAACCACAAACAGAAAGCCUAACCUUUCCUUUUACUAGAUUAAUUAUUUUUGUUAAUAUCCUUAAGCCAAAUCAAGCUGUCAAAGAGAGUAUUGUUAUGCCAUUUGUUUGUCAAAUUUCAAGGCCAGGAAAAGAUACUUGCCAAGUUAACCACCAGAACUUGAAACAGUAUGAGUCGGCAAACAAUUCGGCUUAAAACCUAGUCACAUGAUAUCAAGUUUAUUUGUUUCAACUUGCCUUGACUAUCAGAUGAAUUG
RNAcentral lists this unclassified non-coding RNA (327 nucleotides) under Hevea brasiliensis (rubber tree). The record is from RNAcentral. Lineage: Eukaryota; Viridiplantae; Streptophyta; Magnoliopsida; Malpighiales; Euphorbiaceae.